Molecule: ribosomal RNA, 823 nt
Filed under: uncultured Planctomycetota bacterium
Lineage: Bacteria; Pseudomonadati; Planctomycetota
Description: bacterial SSU rRNA
Rfam family: Bacterial small subunit ribosomal RNA
Source: RNAcentral
UUCGGGUUGUAAAGCUCUGUCAGGAGUUAAGAAAUAUAAGUAUGCUAAUACCAUAUUUAUUUGACGAAGGCUCCAAAGGAAGCCACGGCUAACUCUGUGCCAGCAGCCGCGGUAAUACAGAGGUGGCAAGCGUUGUUCGGAAUUAUUGGGCGUAAAGAGCACGUAGGUGGGUUUGUAAGUCAGAUGUGAAAGCCUUCUGUUCAACGGAAGAAUUGCAUCUGAAACUGCGAGUCUUGAGUGUAGGAGGGGAGAAUGGAACUUCUGGUGGAGCGGUGAAAUGCGUAGAUAUCAGAAGGAACACCGGCGGCGAAAGCGAUUCUCUGGCCUAUUACUGACACUCAGUGUGCGAAAGCUAGGGGAGCAAACGGGAUUAGAUACCCCGGUAGUCCUAGCCGUAAACGAUGGGCACUAAGUAGAGGGAAUUACCGAUGUUCUCUCUGCCGUAGCUAACGCAUUAAGUGCCCCGCCUGGGGAGUACGGCCGCAAGGCUAAAACUCAAAAGAAUUGACGGGGGCUCGCACAAGCGGUGGAGCAUGUGGCUUAAUUCGAUGCAACGCGAAGAACCUUACCGGGGCUUGACAUGGUAGAAGUAGAAACCCGAAAGGGUAACGAACGGUAUCCAGUCCGUAACUAUCACAGGUGUUGCAUGGCUGUCGUCAGCUCGUGUCGUGAGACGUUGGGUUAAGUCCCCUAACGAGCGAAACCCUUGUUUUUAGUUACCAGCGGGUUAUGCCGGGUACUCUAGAAAGACUGCCGUCGUCAAGACGGAGGAAGGUGGGGAUGACGUCAGGUCAUCAUGGCCCUUAUGCCCCGGGCUGCACAC